UAGAAGUAAUUAAUUCCUUGUUGACCUACUCAUAACCUUCGUACACAUUCCACCAUAUCCAGAAGACCUCGUACAUAACUUAUUGUCAUGAAUGAGUGGAAACCAAAAUAUGGAUUUAUGUGCACAAGAUACUAUGGUGAUCUCAGGUCAAAGGAUCAGUUGCACAACUCCCACUAAGAGAAUCAUCUUUUGACAUGUAAGUAAGACUUCAUAAGAUUUCUCUUUGUAGGUCAAUUCAGUGAACUCAUUUCUCUAAUGAGC
Molecule: long non-coding RNA, 261 nt
Filed under: Phoenix dactylifera (date palm)
Lineage: Eukaryota; Viridiplantae; Streptophyta; Magnoliopsida; Arecales; Arecaceae
Description: long non-coding RNA (PDAC_LNC013076)
Source: RNAcentral